AUACCUAAUAUCUUUGCUUUUUAAUUUCACAAACUCUAGUUCCUACGAAUCACGAUUUUAUCAUAAGCUUUUCACGCAUUUUUUGCCAUUUCUCUAUAUUAUUUUAAUAUUUUCAACAUUGCAAAAUUACGUCACGCAACUAUACAUUUUCAUUGUUGUUUUUAAUUAAUAUUUGGAUGGUUCAUGAUCACGAAACAUCAUUUCGAGGAGAAGGUGAUAAUUUAGUCAACGCAUUUUGGUUACUAAUAUAUGCUUCAUACGUUUCAAUAAAUAUCACUAUGGAAUUUAACCCCAAAAGCAAGGUUUUGAAAACCGGACCGGAUCGGCCGGUCGGACCGGUUCGACCGGUCGGACCGGUUCGACCGGUCGGACCGGUUCGACCGAGACUCGUUAAGUAAAAUGAACGUCUCUUACAUAGGGGUUAAAAAAACCGUAUCUUAUUGGACACUUGUUUUAGUUGUAUUGGGGAGGAGAGCUUUAGAUAGAAAAAAAAAAACGAUCACCCAGUUUCGAGUUCUUUCGGUGCUCUCUCUCUCUCUCUCUCUCUCUCUCUCUCUUUCCUCCUGAAAAUCGCAUGCAUCUGAGUCGAAUCAAGCAUCUUUUUUUGUGAAUCGAAAGGUAAAAGUUUGUUGUAUUGUGAUUGUAUUGGGAUUUUGAGACGAUGUUGGUUGAUAAGAACCCUAGUUUUGUCUCCCUUCUUCUUCUUCCUUGUCUGUAACCAUCUUUUGGAGAAUUUUAAGAGGCGAAGAUGGUUGGCAAAGGAGAAGAUGCAUCUAAAGUAAUCCACGUGAAGUUCGUGAUGAAGUUUUACCCUCCGUUCAAAGCUCUGGUAACCUCCGUCGUUAUCCCUUCCAACUUCACUCGUCUCAGUCUCUCUUCCAUCGUAAACUCUCUCCUCACUCUCGAUCGAUACCGUGGGAAAUUUUAGUUGUUGAGAAAAAUGCAUACGAGGUAUAUGGAGAGGACUAAUAGUAUGAGAGAAAAGAGACAACUUGAGGAAGAUGAUAAUAACAAUCAGCAGCCUGAGCGUAAAAGGCCCGCUCUUGCAAGUGUAAUUGUGGAAGCCCUGAAGACAAGACCAAUAAAUCACUCGUAAUCGUGCAGCCUAAUAAUAGCCGCACAAGACCAAGACCCAUGGAGUUUAGCUAAAGAUGUAUUGCCACGAGAAGAUGAACAUGUCUACGAGGUUCAUCGUUCUGAUCACCAUGUCACCAGAUUCAAUAUGAAUCUGCGAACCAAACCGGAAGAUUUGCAUCCAUGUGAACGACGAAAGACAGUUGCUUCCUUACACUGCGUUCUAGGCUAUCCGUUUUUUGUAUAUUUUUUAUAAUAUCAUAUUUAUUAGAUAAUUUAUUUGUCAGUUCUGAUAGCAUUAUAAUUUUUGGUUAAAAUAAUCUGAUUAGUAAAUAUCGAUCAACUUUGGUUUUAAUUUUGAACUUCGAAAGAAAUUAAACAUUCUAAAAUUUUGAUUUUUUUUUGUCUCUUUUUCAUUCAAGGUAUUUCCAAAAUGUAUAGAAGUUUUGUUUGCAAUGUAUUGUUUAUGUUUUUUUCUGCUAUGAAUUUUUGUCUCAUAUAUUCUUAUGGUAAAUUAUGUUUGGUAGAAAUAUAUUGUAACAUAGACGUUAUAUUCUACUUAAUUUAAAUAGAAGUAAAAUUCUUAUAAGUUAAUCAAAAUAUCAAUGUUAAGUUGAUAAGAUCUUAACAUGAAGUUGCCGAAGCUAAAUUCGUCCAAAUGAUUAGGUUCUUUCCUGAAGCUUUGGAACUUAGAUAAGGUGGGGAUACUUAGUGAGGAAGUGCUGCAUUAGGGGUGGGCGUUCGGAUAUCCGUUCGGAUUCGGGUCGGGUAUUUCGGAUGUUCGGAUAUUUCGGUAUAGAAGCAUAAAACUCGUUCGGGUAUUUCUGCACGACGGGUAGGGUUCGGGUAUUUCAGAUAUAACCGAAAAAACCAAAGCAUUUGAUAAAAAAAAAUUGAAUUACUGAUAGAAAAAAAUUAAAAUUACAUAAUUCUUGCAAAAAAAAAACUAUUCGUUCUUUUGCUUUCGUUACGUAACAAGAUCGAGAGUAACAAGUGAAGCUCCAUGGAUGGAAACUACCCCUCCGUAUGAAGAACGACAAGAUGGUUUGAGAUGGCUCCGGUUGUUACAUUAAUGUUUAUGGUGGUUACCGUUGAUGACAGCAACAACUAAUGUCUCUGAGAAACCUUACAUGGAUCAUGAGAAGAACAAUAUUUUAGGAAAGAAGAUCUUGCAGGGAGAGAAGAUGAGAGAUGCGAAAUGCAUAUGGUGUCUUCAUCUCUCACGUUUAAGAAGGAGAUACAUAUAUAUAUUGCACAUGUUUAAGUUAAGAAAAAUAGUGAUUUGGUAUUGAUUUUAUAUAAUAUUAAUUAAACCAAAAUCUGUUUAGAGAAACCAAUCAUGAAAGAUGUAGAUUUGGAUUAAAGUAUACAUAUGUUCAGAUGACUUCGGGUAUUACUUCAGGUUUCGUAUAUACCCGAUCGGGUUUGGGUAUCCAAACUUGUUCAAUACAAAACCCGUUCGGGUAUUUUGCUACUUCGGUUCGGAUUCGGGUUUUUCGGGUCGAGUUCGUAUUCGAGUUUGGGUAUCGGAUAAAAUGCCCAGUCCUAUGCUGCAUGGGAUCGUGAUGAGAAGCUCACAUUUUAAACCGUAAACAAAUUAUACCCUGAUUAAACAAUAAUCAGAAGCCCUUGCCUAUAAAACUAACCCAAAAAUUGGUAACCAUCAAUAGCGGGGUAGCGAUAGACAAUGAUCAAGAAAUGACUUGGUUGUGUCGGUGGGUUAUGACUGCCGGGUUGGGUUUUUUUAAUUGGUUAAUAAA
Brassica napus (rape) is the source of this 2834-nucleotide long non-coding RNA. RefSeq lists it as uncharacterized. NCBI's taxonomy places the organism in Eukaryota, Viridiplantae, Streptophyta, Magnoliopsida, Brassicales, Brassicaceae. The transcript has 5 exons. The record is from RefSeq and is a predicted model, not a curated record.